GUGAGGAAUAUUGGUCAAUGGGCGGGAGCCUGAACCAGCCAAGUCGCGUGAAGGAAGAAGGAUCUAUGGUUCGUAAACUGCUUUUGUACGGGAAGAAACACUCCCUCGUGAGGGAGCUUGACGGUACCGUAAGAAUAAGGAUCGGCUAACUCCGUGCCAGCAGCCGCGGUAAUACGGAGGAUCCAAGCGUUAUCCGGAAUCAUUGGGUUUAAAGGGUCCGUAGGCGGUUUAAUAAGUCAGUGGUGAAAGCCCAUCGCUCAACGAUGGAACGGCCAUUGAUACUGUUAGACUUGAAUUACAAGGAAGUAACUAGAAUAUGUAGUGUAGCGGUGAAAUGCUUAGAUAUUACAUGGAAUACCAAUUGCGAAGGCAGGUUACUACUUGUGGAUUGACGCUGAUGGACGAAAGCGUGGGGAGCGAACAGGAUUAGAUACCCUGGUAGUCC
This 445-nucleotide ribosomal RNA is filed under the name uncultured bacterium. RNAcentral's name for it is "partial 16S ribosomal RNA". It matches the Rfam family "Bacterial small subunit ribosomal RNA", at positions 354 to 796 of the family's 1533-position model. The record is from RNAcentral.